This 536-nucleotide ribosomal RNA is filed under the name Alcaligenes sp. A32. RNAcentral describes it as "bacterial SSU rRNA". It matches the Rfam family "Bacterial small subunit ribosomal RNA", at positions 943 to 1484 of the family's 1533-position model. Lineage: Bacteria; Pseudomonadati; Pseudomonadota; Betaproteobacteria; Burkholderiales; Alcaligenaceae. The record is from RNAcentral.
GGAUUAAUUCGAUGCAACGCGAAAAACCUUACCUACCCCUGACAUGUCUGGAAAGCCGAAGAGAUUUGGCCGUGCUCGCAAGAGAACCGGAACACAGGUGCUGCAUGGCGGUCGUCAGCUCGUGUCUUGAGAUGUUGGGUUAAGUCCCGCAACGAGCGCAACCCUUGUCCUUAGUUGCUACGCAAGAGCACUCUAAUGAGACCGCCGGUGACAAACCGGAGGAAGGUGGGGAUGACGUCAAGUCCUCAUGGCCCUUAUGGGUAGGGCUUCACACGUCAUACAAUGGUCGGGACAGAGGGUCGCCAACCCGCGAGGGGGAGCCAAUCUCAGAAACCCCAUCGUAGUCCGGAUCGCAGUCUGCAACUCGACUGCGUGAAGUCGGAAUCGCUAGUAAUCGCGGAUCAGAAUGUCGCGGUGAAUACGUUCCCGGGUCUGUACACACCGCCCGUCACACCAUGGGAGUGGGUUUCACCAGAAGUAGGUAGCCUAACCGUAAGGAGGGCGCUUACCCCGGUGGGAUUCAUGACUGGGGUGAA